Molecule: transfer RNA, 73 nt
Filed under: Bacillus sp. M6-12
Lineage: Bacteria; Bacillati; Bacillota; Bacilli; Caryophanales; Bacillaceae
Description: tRNA-Arg
Rfam family: tRNA
About the family: Transfer RNA (tRNA) molecules are approximately 80 nucleotides in length. Their secondary structure includes four short double-helical elements and three loops (D, anti-codon, and T loops).
Source: RNAcentral
GGGGGUGUAGCUCAAUGGAUAGAGCAAAGACCUUCUAAGUCUUCGGUUGCAGGUUCGACUCCUGUCACUCCCG